RNAcentral lists this ribosomal RNA (326 nucleotides) under uncultured eukaryote. Its description in RNAcentral is "partial 18S ribosomal RNA". It matches the Rfam family "Eukaryotic small subunit ribosomal RNA", at positions 1470 to 1796 of the family's 1831-position model. The record is from RNAcentral.
CCCUUAGAUGUUCUGGGCCGCACGCGCGCUACACUGACGAUGGCAACGAGUUUUUCCUUCGCCGAAAGGUGUGGGUAAUCUUUUGAAACAUCGUCGUGCUAGGGAUAGAUCAUUGCAAUUUUUGAUCUUGAACGAGGAAUUCCUAGUAAGCGCGAGUCAUCAGCUCGCGUUGAUUACGUCCCUGCCCUUUGUACACACCGCCCGUCGCUCCUACCGAUUGAGUGGUCCGGUGAGGCUUUGGGAUCUGAGCGGAAAGAGCGUUUCGCUGUUUCUGCCCGGAAAACUCAGUCGAACCUUAUCAUUUAGAGGAAGGAGAAGUCGUAACA